Molecule: ribosomal RNA, 253 nt
Filed under: uncultured bacterium
Lineage: Bacteria
Description: partial 16S ribosomal RNA
Rfam family: Bacterial small subunit ribosomal RNA
Source: RNAcentral
UACGUAGGGUGCAAGCGUUGUCCGGAAUUAUUGGGCGUAAAGAGCUCGUAGGCGGUUUGUCGCGUCUGCUGUGAAAACUCGGGGCUUAACCCCGGGCCUGCAGUGGGUACGGGCAGACUAGAGUGCGGUAGGGGAGACUGGAAUUCCUGGUGUAGCGGUGAAAUGCGCAGAUAUCAGGAGGAACACCAACGGCGUAGGCAGCGCCCUAGACGAGACCUGACGCUCAGGCACGAAAGCGCGGGGAGCGAACAGG